RNAcentral lists this ribosomal RNA (251 nucleotides) under uncultured bacterium. Its description in RNAcentral is "partial 16S ribosomal RNA". It matches the Rfam family "Bacterial small subunit ribosomal RNA", at positions 524 to 776 of the family's 1533-position model. The record is from RNAcentral.
UACGUAGGGUGCAAGCGUUAUCCGGAAUUAUUGGGCGUAAAGAGCUCGUAGGCGGUUUGUCGCGUCUGCUGUGAAAACUCGAGGCUCAACCUCGAGAUGUCGGCGGAAACCAUUUGGCUAGAGUCCGGAAGAGGAAAGUGGAAUUCCUGGUGUAGCGGUGAAAUGCGCAGAUAUCAGGAAGAACACCCGUGGCGAAGGCGGCUUUCUGACGGUACUGACGCUGAGACGCGAAAGCGUGGGGAGCGAACAGG